GCAUGCGCUGUGUGCUUUGGGGUCCCCUCAAGUGUCAGAGCUCACUAUUUGGCAAAGAGCUACUCCUGUCGCAGUGCCAUUUAAACAGCCGGCGGAGGAGAUGGAGGGAGGUGGGGGGGGGGGGGGCUGGCCCGUGCGGGUCUCCCGCUUCCCCGUCGUGCGGCAAGGCCGCCGCAGAAACAGAGGAGCUGCCCCACACACACCUCACGGAGGCAAGCAGUGGGGGGAACGGCGACACGACCUUCCCCCUAUCCCUGGGCUGGUUCCUGAGCUGCUUCAGUGUGUGGGUCACCAGUGCUUGUAAAGAACAGCUCCCCCCACUGUGUACGAUGAGAAUUUCUUGCCAAGUUUGAGGAUGAUUGAUAAAAAAUGCUGCUUCUCAUAGCACAAUUGAUCUUGUACACCAGGCUGCCACAUUUCUCAACUACUGACUCGGAGAGUAUUGCCUGUUUUAUUGCUAACAUUUUCUGCAGUGUCCUGGGUUUUCCUGGCAAGUAUCUCAUCCAAGUCAUGACCAAUUCUUGGACCCUGCUUCAUUCCUUCAUUUCACAAACUGCUGCCCAUGGUGACAAAACAGCAGGUAAUUCUGCAUUGUAAUGAAGAAAUGCCAUAAAGCUGCCUCUUGGGAAGUACAGAAUUGGUAUUAGUGUUCCUACUCUGGCUACACAUUGCUCCUAGAAACUAAUUUUCAUACCCUAUCUAUUAGCCUGGAUUUUAUAUUCCCAAUAUAAACUAUGGAUUUUUACUGAUGUAUUUAUCCUCUUAUAGUUGAAGUACAAAAGGAAAUUACAGCACCAGUUUUAGAGAAAACAAAGAGAUUCCCCUCUCCCCUCCCUUAUAGCUCUUAAACUGCAGGGUCUUCAUGCAAGGGUUUUCUAGAUAGAACAAACAGAAAUGUCUCCUUUAAUUCAACACUGGCUGUGUGUCACUUAGCAGUAGGGAGGUCAACCUCUGUUACAGUUUAUGACGUUCUCCUGAUCAAAAUUCUCUUGUUCCCAGGAAGUGGAAAAUUAAAUUGGGUAUCUGUGAAAAUGAAGAUUGAAUUUUACCUCUCCUCCAUAUGAAAAAGUUAUUUAAGGUCAAUUUUGCCCUCCUCGGUGGCAGAUAGAAGUGAAAUACUGUAAUUUCCUCUUCACAAAUCCAACCACCUUCUGUCUUUGAUACAAUUCUGUAAUAAAACUACUGGACAAUUGCUA
This is a long non-coding RNA of Tyto alba (common barn owl), 1196 nucleotides long. RefSeq lists it as uncharacterized. NCBI's taxonomy places the organism in Eukaryota, Metazoa, Chordata, Aves, Strigiformes, Tytonidae. The transcript is spliced from 3 exons. The record is from RefSeq and is a predicted model, not a curated record.